AGGACGAACGCUGGCGGCGUGCCUAACACAUGCAAGUCGAGCGGAGAUUAUAGCAAUAUAAUCUUAGCGGCGGACGGGUGAGUAACGCGUGGGCAACCUGCCUUUCACAGGGGGAUAACACAGGGAAACUUGUGCUAAUACCGCAUAAGAUCAUAGGAGGACAUCCUCCAGUGACCAAAGGAGCAAUCCGGUGAGAGAUGGGCCCGCGUCCAAUUAGCUAGUUGGUGGUGUAACGGACCACCAAGGCGACGAUUGGUAGCCGAACUGAGAGGUUGAUCGGCCACAUUGGGACUGAGAUACGGCCCAGACUCCUACGGGAGGCAGCAGUGGGGAAUAUUGCGCAAUGGGGGGAACCCUGACGCAGCAACGCCGCGUGAAGGAUGAAGGUUUUCGGAUCGUAAACUUCUUUGAUGAGGGACGAAAGAAAUGACGGUACCUCAAAAACAAGCCACGGCUAACUACGUGCCAGCCGCCGC
RNAcentral lists this ribosomal RNA (476 nucleotides) under uncultured bacterium. RNAcentral describes it as "bacterial SSU rRNA". It matches the Rfam family "Bacterial small subunit ribosomal RNA", at positions 26 to 518 of the family's 1533-position model. The record is from RNAcentral.